Long non-coding RNA from Acipenser ruthenus (sterlet), 2970 nucleotides. RefSeq lists it as uncharacterized. The record is from RefSeq and is a predicted model, not a curated record. The transcript has 3 exons. NCBI's taxonomy places the organism in Eukaryota, Metazoa, Chordata, Actinopteri, Acipenseriformes, Acipenseridae.
CUUUCACAGACCAAUGUUUCACUGGAAUGCUUAGUUUGUUUAAAUUUGGUUAGUGACUGGUUCCCGUCACUUUGCCAUACUUCACAGCACUCCAAGCGUUUUAAUAGUCAGGUCCUUUGUGAUGUCGGUCACCUGGCUGGCAUGAGGAACUGCAGAUGGCUGCGCUGUGCCAUGCAAAGAGGCACAAGCCCGGACCUAGUAUUUCUGCGGCCCAUGGUCCUCUGCCCAGUCUGUCUGAGGAAGGUUCAGUAAGCCCUUGGAUUCACUCUAGUAGAGCACUAGAAGGUGUGGAUUCAGAAACUACAAACCUGGGAAAGAGCCAUCUCUUCCAUCUGAGGGGUCAAUGAUUCUAUGGGCAGAGCAGCCUCUGAGGACCACCUCCUAUUCAGGACGGACUGAGGUGUGUCCUGUGAGAACAAUUCCAAGCUUCUGUCGGGCACUUUGGAGCCGAUGAGCCCCGACACAAACAGCCAGGAACUCUCCAUCGGCCAAGAGCUGCAGCUCGAUAGACCACCCAGCACUGCGGCCUUCUCCUCAUCCAGCCCCAGCAGGCCUCAGGAGAGGGAGGAGGGGGUGGUUGAGACCCACCUGUCCACGGACCUCAUUGAAGAGUAUGUGGCUUGACUGUGGGCCUGCAUCGCAACCCUAGAGAGAGGCUUCCAAGGACGAGGUCUCCGGGCUGGACGCUUUUGUGGACGUUCUGCCCGCUUACAGCAGCUUUACAGAGAGGGCCACUGUAGUCAAGAGCGUUUGAGGCUCCUAAAGAGGAGAGGUGGCUGAAAAAGUUUAUCGGGGAAAGGUUUUCCUCUCUACGUCGGAAGCUGAGCACCAGGAACUUGUUAAAAAGAUGAACUCCUACUCUCUAGCUGAAAGUGUUGAAGACUGACUAACUUCGCUGCUCGGGGCGCCUCAUUUUGCUGAUUGCUCAGUCUCGCUUCUGUACCUCUUGAAGUGUUUAAUCCAGCCAUCGCCGUGCUUGAAAUGCAGAUACAGACUGUGAACUCAUGCACAGUCUGUAUCUACAAUUGCUGUACAAUUGAGCACAAGCAGCAACCUACUGUGAAAGGGAUGUGGCAUCUUACUCUGUCGCAAAAUAAGGCCUUUACACAAAGUGGGGAGAGCCUCUUCAAAAGACUUGGCAUCUGUCAGCUUAGGCAAUAAGUACUGAAGUCAGUAUCAAAAGAAUGAGAGAAAUACAUUUUUUUACAUUUGAAUGCCUUUAUCCCUGAAAGCUGUAUCUGAGUGUUAAUGCUGUACCGACAAAGUAUACGACUAGGUCACCAACACUGGAAGAAGAAAUAAUAAUAUAAAUAAUAAUAAUACAGCACAAUUACAGUACUGUAAAAAGCAAAUCGCAUUACUCUAUUAUACAAUAAUAUCUGUAAACAGGAAGAGAUUGUUAGACACAUGUUCAGAUUUAUUUUUACAAAACCUGAUAUAUUUGAGCUACUGUAGAAUGAAAGGACAUGCUUUAUAUUAGUCAGUGAAACUCGUAUUUAAAGCUCUCUGCCCAGCAAUUGAUUGGUUAGCCCAUUACCUUGAGGCACAUAAAACGGAACACUUUCUUACUGUUUGCUAAGAGUGGGACGUUAAACAUGAUUUCCUCUUUAUUUAUUUUUUUGUGGGUCACAGCUGUUCUUUGCCUGUUCCCUCUGCACUGAUAGCUGAUUAUUAAAUAUCAGAGUUCAGUUUCAGGUCUAAUUAAAUUCAGCCUGAAGGAAGCGUUGUGAUAACAGGAGUCAUGAGAUCUUGUAUCCGUCCAGAAUACUGAAAUGGCUGUUAUUGGAUGUGUCCUUUAAUGGCACCAGCUUGUUCUCCAGAAAAGGUUAAAAAGAAAAUAAAUACAUUAAAACAAGAAAAAAAAAAAAAAAAGGGUUUCAGAAGAGCUCUUAAAAUGAGACACUGAUCUGGACUUGAAAAGACUAGACCAAAACAAAAUUACCAGGGUCAGAACACUGCAAAAAAUACUACAUAAUAAAAAGAAGUGCCAGAAAGAUUAUUAUUUUAUUUGUUUUGCAUGCACUAAACAGCAUUACACAUUCAUAUUAUCAGUUAGGAAUCUACCGUCUUAGGAUGUGUUUCUCAAGUAUGUGUGCACACUAUGGGAGGGGGAGAGUCCAGCUGUAGAUAAAUCUAUUGUGUGGCCUGGCAGACUAUUUUGUGUCCCUCUAUUCAGCACCCAUGCCCCACAUCCCCGCUCUCUCUCUAUUCAACCACAUCAAGUCACUUAUUUUCAGUCACAAAGCCUUCCAAGUUAUUACCAAAUCAGAAACAACUCCCCAUCAACAUUUUUCUUUUCUGGUUACUAAAAUGAAAGAUCAGACAUUUUCCACAGCUUUAAUUUGGAUCCAAGAUGGGUUUCUUUGCUUUAAAAGAAGAGGUAAAAGAAAAAUAUUUCGAAAUGUAUACCUCUUUGUACAUUUAAAAUACAUGGUGGUUUCCUGUGGGUGCAGCCACAGACUCUGAGCCCUGUUGUCCCUCUGUGUUGCACAGAAACCAUUGCAUCAGAAACACCCCAGGGGGAUGGCACCAAAUUCAGUACAUCUGUGUGUCACAGUAGCUGUAUAAAAGGAUUCCUAAUCCGAACCCUAAACCUUAUCAGAACCUGAAAUUGGGGAGCGUUCGUUGUGAAUACUUCUGUUAACAGAUCUUGCAUGGUUGUCAUUUUCCCUGUAACUCAAGAAUAUUGUUAUAUACUCCCCUUGCCACAAGCUUGCUCCGUUGGGGGGGGGGGGAAUAAAAAUAAAUAAAGGCUAUUCUGUACUGUGCCACUCAUGCACACGUCAUAAAACCAUUACAUACACAGAUGCAGCUACUUAAUAGAAUGAUGCAGCGUUUCUGCCAAUACGUUACUGCUAAUACACAUCUCGAAAUGUGUCUUGUGAUGCUCUGAUGUGCCUCAUUCUUGUACUUGCUAACAGUUAAACUUGCUCUUAUUUAGGUACUGAACUUAUUGUAUAUUGUACUUGC